GAUUCUGGCUCAGGAUGAACGCUAGCGGCAGGCUUAACACAUGCAAGUCGAGGGGCAUCGGGAGUAGCAAUACUUGCCGGCGACCGGCGCAAGGGUGCGUAACGCGUGAGCAACAUGCCCGUAUCAGGGGGAUAAUCCAUGGAAACGUGGUCUAAUACCCCAUAGUAAUUAUGUAAGGCAUCUUAUAUAAUUUAAAGCUUUGGUGGAUACGGAUUGGCUCGCGUGACAUUAGCUGGAUGGUAAGGUAACGGCUUACCAUGGCUACGAUGUCUAGGGGUUCUGAGAGGAAGGUCCCCCACACUGGAACUGAGACACGGUCCAGACUCCUACGGGAGGCAGCAGUGAGGAAUAUUGGACAAUGGAUGGAAAUCUGAUCCAGCCAUGCCGCGUGCCAGGAAGACGGCCCUAUGGGUUGUAAACUGCUUUUGUAUGGGAGCAAUAAGGGCUACGUGUAGUCCGAUGAGAGUACCAUACGAAUAAGCACCGGCUAACUCCGUGCCAGCCGCCGC
This 509-nucleotide ribosomal RNA is filed under the name uncultured bacterium. RNAcentral's name for it is "bacterial SSU rRNA". It matches the Rfam family "Bacterial small subunit ribosomal RNA", at positions 15 to 518 of the family's 1533-position model. The record is from RNAcentral.